UAAUCAAACUGCACUCAAGUGUUGAGACAUUUGUUGCACGCAAUAAAUAAAUCUUCUUCAAACAACAAAAAGUAGAGGCAGUGAAUAUGGUAUGAUAUAUUGCUCAAUAAUUACUUAUCCAAAAAAUAAAUAAAGAUAUACUGGUUGUUAGACCUUAAGUUAUGUGCAUAACAAAAGUCAGAUAAAUAAGAUCAUCAAAUUAAAAAGGCAACAAUAAUUACAACUAGUUCAGACAUUAUAAUGAUGACAAGCUUGUUUUAGAUGGAAAGCAUUUGUAGAUAAUUUGCAAUACUCAACUGCUUAAGACCAAGACUUUUCAUUUAAUGUAAACAGAAUUCUACCUACAUUACCAUCAGCUUGUCUUGCUCAUAAAAUUAGAAGACCUAAUUAGAGAUGGGGAGAAAAACUUAUUGACCAAAUCCCCAAGUAUUUUACACCCAAAACUACUGAAGACCAGUUGUUCCUCUGUGGAAAAUAUUUCUGAGAACAACAUUCUCUAAAAGCAGGCAAAAAGGACUGGAACUUCAGCUUUUAAUUGGUGCAUUACUUCAAAACAGUUUAGUCAAUUCUCAGUACAGCAAAGAUAUUAGACAUAAGUUUAUAACCAAAAGCUGGGGGUACAAGCACUGUAUCAAAUUGAGUUCAAUGAUCAAAUGAUUUCACUGCUGCUUAAGACAAUAUGAAUAAUUCGUAGAAAACUGAAAAAUGAACACAAAAUAAACCGAGAAAUGAAAGCAUUACCUUGACGAUGAUGAAGAUAAAUGAAAGGAGCGAAAACCCUAUACACAGAGAAGACGAUUUCACUUAAUUUCAGGCUCAUCAACAAAUUACAAAAACAAGAAAACCCAAAGUU
RNAcentral lists this long non-coding RNA (853 nucleotides) under Gossypium raimondii (Peruvian cotton). Its description in RNAcentral is "long non-coding RNA (GRAI_LNC000372)". Lineage: Eukaryota; Viridiplantae; Streptophyta; Magnoliopsida; Malvales; Malvaceae. The record is from RNAcentral.